Molecule: transfer RNA, 365 nt
Filed under: uncultured Microcystis sp.
Lineage: Bacteria; Bacillati; Cyanobacteriota; Cyanophyceae; Chroococcales; Microcystaceae
Description: partial 16S-23S ribosomal RNA intergenic spacer
Rfam family: tRNA (bases 136-209)
Source: RNAcentral
AAAGGGAGACCUAAUUCAGGUAGGAGACGAAAAAAAAGUAGUCCCUACCAAGAAUCAAUCCCAAAAGGUCGGAGCGAGGCAAAAUUGGCUUUCAAACUAGGUUCUGGGUUCACACAAGACCUGAAUCAGGAACAAGGGCUAUUAGCUCAGGUGGUUAGAGCGCACCCCUGAUAAGGGUGAGGUCCCUGGUUCGAGUCCAGGAUGGCCCACCUGUACAGGUGGCAAAAAGAAAGAAAAGAAGCGAGGAAUCAGCACCUUAUCUUACUUAUAUAGUAAGAGAGAAUGCUGGCUCUGAGUUCAGAGUCCAGAGGAACCUUGAAAACUGCAUAGAGCUAGGUGAAAAGGCCAAAAAAGAAGACCGCAAG